Anas platyrhynchos (mallard) is the source of this 1466-nucleotide long non-coding RNA. RefSeq lists it as uncharacterized. The record is from RefSeq and is a predicted model, not a curated record. NCBI's taxonomy places the organism in Eukaryota, Metazoa, Chordata, Aves, Anseriformes, Anatidae.
UAGCCAGGAGAAUUGAAACUGCCUCAUCGACACAGUGCACCCAUCUGCGCAGCACAUGGACGGGGGAAGAAGACAUGUUUGGAUGUCUUUGAGUGGUGUCCCACAAUGGAGAUCAGAUUGUGUUUCUCAUGCAUGACCCAGAAGCAGCUGGAAGCAGGGAGAGGCCCAGCUGCUCCCCUGGUACUGCUAACGGCACAACCAGGGCCAGGUCCCCACCUCCCGCUGCAGCAGAUGCAGAGCACCUGGGGGUUGGCCCCUAAAAACAGCCACCAUGGUACCCACAGAGCCAUCCCUGCCUCCUCAGCCCCUGUGGCUGCUUCUGAAGCCUGCCAGAGUGUAAGGGUUCAGUGUGCCCUGCAGGACCAAUGUUGCUUCUCUGCAAAGUUUUUUCUAUAGAUAUAGCAGGCAGUCCUAGAUCUCUGGAAGCCUUUUUUUUUUUUUCCCCCAACAGAAAUUAUUUCUCUGUAUGGGCUCCUGCUUCUGGCUGAGAGCAACAGCUGAACUCUGGACAAUAGUGAAUAUCUCCCAGGUAGAUGUGUAAUGUUGAAUGUGGAACUGGGGAGUUGGCUUUAGUCCUCACCUGUGGCAUGAGGAUUACUGUGAGAGUACACAAAGAGGGGAAGAGUACAUUUGGACCAAAACAAAUCUGAUACGGAGUCAUAAAGGUUUGGGAUAUUCAUUGGGUUUGAGGACACUUUAAAUGAUUAUACUUAUGAUAAGAGUGAUAUAGCUGGGGAGAGCUACCAUGGUUAUCAUCAGUUUCCUUUCUCCUGUAUGCUCAACAUUUUUUGUGUUUUUUUUUUUUUUUUUUUUUUGUCUUAAAUACAUGCAUCUGAUAACUUGAAGUAAUUGUUAUUCAUAGUGUGAACCUCAAAAUUUCUGUCCAGUUUAACUCCAUCGGUGCUACCCAUCACACUCUCCAAAGAUAUCCAAUAUUUCUUUCCAUGAGAACACCUUGGAGCAGAAUAGAUUUAAGUAGUGUGUUGGUGGAGAAAAUUAGGUUGGGAUACCUGGUAUGGGGUUGCCAAAUGCUGUGAAUCACUAACUGGAAGAAGCAGUAUGAGAUGUCCUUGAGAACUUCAAGGAAGCAAAGACCACCUGUCUUCAUGCCAAUAAUCCUGUCUGAGAAAAAUGAUGCUGGAGUUAAAAUUGUACGUGACACUUUCAUUCUUGGUCUUCCUCUUCACCCCUCAAAUUUCUGCUGCUGUAUAUUAAGUAUCCCCCUUGUGAAGUUAAAGUAGCUCAUAAAAGUGUUAAGUAAAAAGUCAAAACUUACAUGGGAACUGUUACAUUUUCUCUGUGUGGCCAUAAUGAGGUUAUUUAUGGUACAUGUAGGAAAGAUUAAAGGUUUUCAUAAUAAAGGAAAGCAAGAGCUCAAGAAUUGGGUGCCUCCUAACAGCACUGACUCUCAAGACAGGAUAAAUCACCCAAGCAACCAUUAAAACUUCAAGAAGAUUGCUUGUAAA